CGUCUAUAUACGUAUAGCAUAUCAAUAAGCGGAGGAAAAGAAACUAACAAGGAUUCCCUUAGUAACGACGAGUGAAGCGGGAAGAGCUCAAAUUUGAAAUCUUCAAGGUUCUACCUUGACGAAUUGUAGUUUAUAGAAGUGUUUUCUGUUAGUGGAGUGGCAAAAGUUCUUUGGAAUAGGACAUCAUAGAGGGUGAGAAUCCCGUAUUUGGUCAUUCCUCCUAGCGUUGUGAUACACUUUCAACGAGUCGGAUUGUUUGGGAAUGCAGUCCAAAAUGGGUGGUAAAUUUCAUCUAAAGCUAAAUAUUGGCGAGAGACCGAUAGCGAACAAGUACCGUGAGGGAAAGAUGAAAAGAACUUUGAAAAGAGAGUUAAACAGUACGUGAAAUUGUCAAAAGGGAAGCGUUUGACACCAGUGUUGUUUUCUCGAAAAUCAAUUAAAAAAUGGUUGGAUUUUGUGUUGUAUUGACCUUAACAGCUUGCUUCACUCUUUUCCUGCUUUUUUUAAUGCACUUUUCGUUUAACAAGUCAACAUCAAUUUCUUUUGUUGUAAAAGGGUCAUUGGAAGGUGGCUUUCUUUUCGGAGAAAGUGUUUAUAGCCUUUGACUUCUGCAAUCGGAGAGACUGAGGUCUGCAGCGUAGAUCCUUCUUGGAUUAGAUUCAUUUGUGCUAAGUUACAACCGUUUAUAGACAACUUGUUGACUAUAUUCGAUCCUGUAGCUUACUCGCUUAUGUAAUUUUACCUACGCUUAGGAUGUUGACUGAUAUGUAGUCGUA
Molecule: ribosomal RNA, 776 nt
Filed under: uncultured Neocallimastigales
Lineage: Eukaryota; Fungi; Neocallimastigomycota; Neocallimastigomycetes; Neocallimastigales
Description: partial large subunit ribosomal RNA
Rfam family: Eukaryotic large subunit ribosomal RNA
Source: RNAcentral